Molecule: ribosomal RNA, 253 nt
Filed under: Anaerobutyricum hallii
Lineage: Bacteria; Bacillati; Bacillota; Clostridia; Lachnospirales; Lachnospiraceae
Description: partial 16S ribosomal RNA
Rfam family: Bacterial small subunit ribosomal RNA
Source: RNAcentral
UACGUAUGGAGCAAGCGUUAUCCGGAUUUACUGGGUGUAAAGGGUGCGUAGGUGGCAGUGCAAGUCAGAUGUGAAAGGCCGGGGCUCAACCCCGGAGCUGCAUUUGAAACUGCAUAGCUAGAGUACAGGAGAGGCAGGCGGAAUUCCUAGUGUAGCGGUGAAAUGCGUAGAUAUUAGGAGGAACACCAGUGGCGAAGGCGGCCUGCUAGACUAUUACUGACACUGAGGCACGAAAGCGUGGGGAGCAAACAGG